UGAACGCUGGCGGCAGGCCUAACACAUGCAAGUCGAGCGGUAGCACAGAGAGCUUGCUCUCGGGUGACGAGCGGCGGACGGGUGAGUAAUGUCUGGGAAACUGCCUGAUGGAGGGGGAUAACUACUGGAAACGGUAGCUAAUACCGCAUAAUGUCGCAAGACCAAAGUGGGGGACCUUCGGGCCUCAUGCCAUCAGAUGUGCCCAGAUGGGAUUAGCUAGUAGGUGGGGUAACGGCUCACCUAGGCGACGAUCCCUAGCUGGUCUGAGAGGAUGACCAGCCACACUGGAACUGAGACACGGUCCAGACUCCUACGGGAGGCAGCAGUGGGGAAUAUUGCACAAUGGGCGCAAGCCUGAUGCAGCCAUGCCGCGUGUGUGAAGAAGGCCUUCGGGUUGUAAAGCACUUUCAGCGGGGAGGAAGGCGGUAAGGUUAAUAACCUCAUCGAUUGACGUUACCCGCAGAAGAAGCACCGGCUAACUCCGUGCCAGCAGCCGCGGUAAUACGGAGGGUGCAAGCGUUAAUCGGAAUUACUGGGCGUAAAGCGCACGCAGGCGGUCUGUCAAGUCGGAUGUGAAAUCCCCGGGCUCAACCUGGGAACUGCAUUCGAAACUGGCAGGCUAGAGUCUUGUAGAGGGGGGUAGAAUUCCAGGUGUAGCGGUGAAAUGCGUAGAGAUCUGGAGGAAUACCGGUGGCGAAGGCGGCCCCCUGGACAAAGACUGACGCUCAGGUGCGAAAGCGUGGGGAGCAAACAGGAUUAGAUACCCUGGUAGUCCACGCCGUAAACGAUGUCGAUUUGGAGGUUGUGCCCUUGAGGCGUGGCUUCCGGAGCUAACGCGUUAAAUCGACCGCCUGGGGAGUACGGCCGCAAGGUUAAAACUCAAAUGAAUUGACGGGGGCCCGCACAAGCGGUGGAGCAUGUGGUUUAAUUCGAUGCAACGCGAAGAACCUUACCUGGUCUUGACAUCCACAGAACUUUCCAGAGAUGGAUUGGUGCCUUCGGGAACUGUGAGACAGGUGCUGCAUGGCUGUCGUCAGCUCGUGUUGUGAAAUGUUGGGUUAAGUCCCGCAACGAGCGCAACCCUUAUCCUUUGUUGCCAGCGGUCCGGCCGGGAACUCAAAGGAGACUGCCAGUGAUAAACUGGAGGAAGGUGGGGAUGACGUCAAGUCAUCAUGGCCCUUACGACCAGGGCUACACACGUGCUACAAUGGCAUAUACAAAGAGAAGCGACCUCGCGAGAGCAAGCGGACCUCAUAAAGUAUGUCGUAGUCCGGAUUGGAGUCUGCAACUCGACUCCAUGAAGUCGGAAUCGCUAGUAAUCGUAGAUCAGAAUGCUACGGUGAAUACGUUCCCGGGCCUUGUACACACCGCCCGUCACACCAUGGGAGUGGGUUGCAAAAGAAGUAGGUAGCUUAACCUUCGGGAGGGCGCUUACCACUUUGUGAUUCAUGACUGGGGUGAAGUCGUAACAAGGUAACCGUAGGGGAACCUGCGGCUGGAUCACCU
RNAcentral lists this ribosomal RNA (1506 nucleotides) under Klebsiella sp. ok1_1_9_S27. RNAcentral's name for it is "16S ribosomal RNA". It matches the Rfam family "Bacterial small subunit ribosomal RNA". The record is from RNAcentral. Lineage: Bacteria; Pseudomonadati; Pseudomonadota; Gammaproteobacteria; Enterobacterales; Enterobacteriaceae.